RNAcentral lists this ribosomal RNA (483 nucleotides) under uncultured bacterium. Its description in RNAcentral is "partial 16S ribosomal RNA". It matches the Rfam family "Bacterial small subunit ribosomal RNA", at positions 29 to 523 of the family's 1533-position model. The record is from RNAcentral.
AGUGAACGCUGGCGGCGUGCUAACACAUGCAAGUCGAACGAGAACGGAUUAUAGCUUGCUAUAAUUGUCAGCUAAGUGGCGCACGGGUGAGUAAUGUAUAGGUAAUAUGCCUCUUACUAAGGGAUAACAAAUGGAAACGUUUGCUAAUACCUUAUACUCCUUAUUAACAGAAGUUAAUAAGGGAAAGAUUUAUUGGUAAGAGAUUAGCCUGAAUCGUAUCAGUUAGUUGGUGGGGUAAUGGCUUACCAAGACUAUGACACAUAACUGGUUUGAGAGGAUGAUCAGUCACACUGGAACUGAGACACGGUCCGGACUCCUACGGGAGGCAGCAGUGGGGAAUAUUGCACAAUGGACGAAAGUCUGAUGCAGCAACGCCGCGUGGAGGAUGACACAUUUCGGUGCGUAAACUCCUUUUAUAUGAGAAGAUAAUGACGGUAUUAUAUGAAUAAGCACCGGCUAACUCCGUGCCAGCAGCCGCGGUAA